GGGGGAUAAAUUAAUAAAGUAUAAAUAAUAAAAAAAUUUUUAAUAUUAAAAUAUUUUAAUGGGGGUUAAAGUAUAUUUAAUAGAAAAAAUAAAAAAAUUUAUAGAAAAUUAGUAUUGUAAAAGAAAUUUGAAAUAUAUUGAAAAUAAAUUUAUUUAAAAGUAAAUUUAAUUUAUUGUAUCUUGUGUAUCAGAGUUUAUUAAUAAUAAUUUUUAUAUAUAAAAUUUUCUCGAAUUUAAAAGAGAUAAUUAAUUAUUAAAGUUAAUGUUGUAUAAUUAUUUUAAAUAAUUAAUUGGAAAUGAGAUGUUAAUCGUUUUUAAAUAUAUCUAGUUUUUUUAGAAAAAAAUUUAAUUUUAAAUUUUAAAAAGAAUAUAAUUUUAAUUAAUUAAAAUUAUAUUUUUAAAAUUAAAUAUUUUAAGGGAUAAGCUUUAAAAUAAAUUUUUAUAAUAAAUUUUAACAAUAAUUAAAAUUUUUAAAAUUUAUAUUGUUUAUAAAUUAUAAUUUUUUAUAAAUAAUUUUAAUUAAAUUAAAAUUUUAAAUUUAUUUAAUUUUUUAUUAAAAAAUAUUUUUUAAUAAUUAAAAUUUAGAUAUAAUGAUAAAAUUAGUAUAUAAAUGAAUAAAUAAUAUAGUUUAUUAUUUGAUAAUUUAAUAAAAGGAAUUCGGCAAAAAUUAUAUUCACUUGUUUAUCAAAAACAUGUCUUUUUGGUUAAUAAUUUAAAGUCUAAUCUGCCCACUGAUAAUAUAUUAAAGGGCUGCAGUAUUUUGACUGUACAAAGGUAGCAUAAUCAUUAGUCUUUUAAUUGGUGACUUGUAUGAAAGAUUUGAUGAGAUAUAUACUGUCUCUUUUUAAUUUAUAAAAUUUAAUUUUUUAGUUAAAAAGCUAAAAUAUAUUUAAAAGACGAGAAGACCCUAUAGAGUUUUAUAUUUAUAUAAAUUAAAAUUUUUUAUAAGCUUUAAAAUUUUAAUUUAUAUAAAUAUUUUGUUGGGGUGAUAAAAAAAUUAAAAUAACUUUUUUUAUAAUUUUACAUUAAUAAAUGAAUAAAUGAUCCGUAAUUUACGAUUAUAAGAUAAAAUUACCUUAGGGAUAACAGCGUAAUUUUUUUUUUUAGUUCAAAUAAGAAAAAAAGUUUGCGACCUCGAUGUUGGAUUAAGAUAAAAUUUAAAUGCAAAAGUUUAAAAUUUUUGAUCUGUUCGAUCAUUAAAAUCUUACAUGAUCUGAGUUCAAACCGGUGUAAGCCAGGUUGGUUUCUAUCUUUAAAAUAAUAAAAUAUUUUAGUACGAAAGGAUCAAAUAUUUAAAAUAGUUUUAUUUAAAAGAAUUUUAAUAAUAGUAUAUUUUUAAAUAUG
This 1344-nucleotide ribosomal RNA is filed under the name Parnassius epaphus (common red apollo). RNAcentral describes it as "16S ribosomal RNA". The stretch from base 1082 to 1241 matches the Rfam family "Eukaryotic large subunit ribosomal RNA", at positions 2825 to 2984 of the family's 3401-position model. The record is from RNAcentral. Lineage: Eukaryota; Metazoa; Arthropoda; Insecta; Lepidoptera; Papilionidae.